This 1438-nucleotide ribosomal RNA is filed under the name metagenome. RNAcentral's name for it is "bacterial SSU rRNA". It matches the Rfam family "Bacterial small subunit ribosomal RNA". The record is from RNAcentral.
GGAUGAACGCUGGCGGCGUGCCUAACACAUGCAAGUCGAACGCAAAGCUCUGGAUUCGUCUGGGGCGGAGAGUGGCGCACGGGUGAGUAACACAUGGCUGACCUACCCUUCAGAGGGGGACAACCACUGGAAACGGUGGCUAAUACCCCAUACGGUCAUCUGGAUUGGAAGCAGAUGACGAAAGCUCCGGCGCUGAAGGAUGGGGCUGUGACCCAUCAGCUAGUUGGUAGGGUAAAAGCCUACCAAGGCAAGGACGGGUAGGGGGCCUGAGAGGGCGACCCCCCACACGGGCACUGAGACACGGGCCCGACUCCUACGGGAGGCAGCAGUGAGGAAUAUUGCCCAAUGGACGCAAGUCUGAGGCAGCAACGCCGCGUGCGGGAUGACGGCCUUCGGGUUGUAAACCGCUUUUAGAGGGGAAGAGGAAGGACGGUACCCUCUGAAUAAGUCUCGGCUAACUACGUGCCAGCAGCCGCGGUAAAACGUAGGAGGCAAGCGUUAUCCGGAUUUACUGGUGUAAAGCGCGUGCAGGCGGUUUCGUAAGUCAUGCGUGAAAGCGCUCGGCUCAACCGGGCGAGGUCGUGUGAAACUGCGGAACUUGAGGUAGGUAGAGGCGUGUGGAAUUCCGGGUGUAGUGGUGAAAUGCGUAGAUAUCCGGAGGAACACCAGUGGCGAAGGCGACACGCUGGACCUGACCUGACGCUCAGACGCGAAAGCAUGGGUAGCGAACGGGAUUAGAAACCCCGGUAGUCCAUGCCGUAAACGAUGUGUACUAGGUGUUGCGACGUCAAGUGGCAGUGCCGAAGCUAACGUGAUAAGUACACCACCUGGGGACUACGGCCGCAAGGUUAAAACUCAAAGGAAUUGACGGGGGCCCGCACAAGCAGCGGAGCGUGUGGUUUAAUUCGAGGCUACACGAAGAACCUUACCUGGGCUUGACAUGAUGGUGGUAGGGAACCGAAAGGGGACCGACCUUCGGGAGCCAUCACAGGUGCUGCAUGGCUGUCGUCAGCUCGUGUCGUGAGAUGUCCGGUUAAGUCCGGUAACGAGCGCAACCCGCGUCGUUAGUUACAAGUGUCUAACGAGACUGCCCGUUCAACGCGGGAGGAAGGUGCGGAUGACGUCAAGUCAGCAUGGCCUUUAUGUCCAGGGCUACACACACGCUACAAUGGCCGACACAAUAGGUUGCCAACCCGCGAGGGGGAGCUAAUCCAACAAAGUCGGUCUCAGUUCGGAUUGUAGGCUGCAACUCGCCUGCAUGAAGUCGGAGUUGCUAGUAACCGCAGGUCAGCUAUACUGCGGUGAAUACGUUCCCGGGCCUUGUAUACACCGCCCGUCACGUCACGGAAGCUGGUCAUGCCUGAAGUCGGUGGGCUAACCUAACGGAGGCAACCGCCUAAGGCAGGGCUGGUGACCGGGACGAAGUCGUAACAAGGUA